Molecule: microRNA precursor, 207 nt
Filed under: Oryza rufipogon (brownbeard rice)
Lineage: Eukaryota; Viridiplantae; Streptophyta; Magnoliopsida; Poales; Poaceae
Description: MIR812 microRNA precursor family
Rfam family: MIR812 microRNA precursor family
Source: Rfam by way of RNAcentral
AAAAAGACAAACCCUAGAUUUCCGUGCCAACAUUUGACCGCCCGUCUUAUAUGAAAUUUUUUUAUAAUUAGUAUUUUUAUUGUUGUUAGAUGAUAAAACAUGAUUAAUACUUUAUGCGUGACUUAUCUUUUUAAUUUUUUUUCAUAAUUUUUUUAAAUAAGACGGACGGUCAAACGUUGGACACUGGAACCAGGGUCUGUCUUUUUU